CAAUAGCGUAUAUUAAAGUUGUUGCAGUUAAAAAGCUCGUAGUUGGAUUUCUGGUAUGAUGCACCUGGUCCGGGCUCUUUAGAGUCUCGUGUAUCGGUUCGUGCGUCUACCAUCCUGUCUGACAAUGUUGCCUACCCUUCACUGGGCCGGGCACAUCAUCAGACUCGUUUACUUUGAAAAAAUUAGAGUGUUCAAAGCAGGCAUUAGCGCUUUGUAUACAUUAGCAUGGAAUAAUAAGAUAGGACUUCGGCUCUAUUUUGUUGGUUUCUAGGACUGAAGUAAUGAUUGAUAGGGACGGUUGGGGGUGCUUGUAUUUAACGGCCAGAGGUGAAAUUCUUGGAUUCGUUAAAGACAAACUUAUGCGAAAGCAUUCACCAAGGACGUCUUCGUUA
Molecule: ribosomal RNA, 392 nt
Filed under: uncultured eukaryote
Lineage: Eukaryota
Description: partial 18S ribosomal RNA
Rfam family: Eukaryotic small subunit ribosomal RNA
Source: RNAcentral